Long non-coding RNA from Cygnus olor (mute swan), 1206 nucleotides. RefSeq lists it as uncharacterized. The record is from RefSeq and is a predicted model, not a curated record. Lineage: Eukaryota; Metazoa; Chordata; Aves; Anseriformes; Anatidae. The transcript has 5 exons.
CUGUGAUCAAAUGACUUCAUGCUUUCUUUUUAGCGGUGAACGCAAGGGAAGUAUUGAGAUAAAUAUUUUCUUUCUUCUUUAUAGGCUCAUUUAGGACCAAGUUGUUCAGUAUAACUGUGAAAAAUUCAUUGGUUUGAUCAGUGGCAAAUCAACUUGCAGAUGUAUCCUGAUACUUCUAUAAGAAGAUGCUAUAAGCACACCCUCAGGACAUUAGCAAAGGCUUAGUGUCAACAGAAGUGUCCCAAUUUAUCGCAUAUCAUUUGAGUGGAUAUAUGAAUGAUUUGCUCCAACAGCUUGAGAAGCUAACAGGAAUAUGCAAGCAGGCCUUGGAUCAAGGCUGCCACAGAUAGUUUAUGGCAUACUACAUCUGAAUUGGGGCACUUGAAAAUCCAGAUUCUGUUCACAGUACUUGACGGCAGUACCAUGGCACCACUUCACUGCAAGAUAAUAAAACUCACAGUGUGAUCCAGAUUGUUCUUUAAUGAAAGGAUUCUCCCCACGCUUGGUUAUAAGAUUUGGCUAAUGCAGGAGGAGGCUACAGCCAGCAAGGAAAUGAAUGAAGAGGUGUGAUAUAUCUUCUUUUAGCAAAACAUAAGUGAGAGGAUUUGACUGGGUCCACAGAGAGAUCAAAUACUAAAAAGGCAAUAAAGGGAGAACAAUUGGAAGAAGCUGAAUGAGUCACAGAGCAGUGCAGAAUGAUUUCUUUAAUCUCCACCAUGCGUUUCUGUUAAAUAACUCCUUAUUUUGCUUUUUAUGAUACCGUGACAGGUCUUAAAUUGUUAGUCUCUUUUUUUCAGAUUGUAUGAUAAUUAUAAGAAAUGUGGCAGGAUACACAAGUACUGCAAAUGCAGAUGCUACAAAUUUAACGUCUGUUACUAGCUCCAAUCACACCUACAUAUGCUUUAGACAUGAAACUAAUCUUAAGAAUUUAAAUGGUACUUGCAUAUAUUAAGCUAAGCAAAUUUAUUCAUACUUUGUGGGGUGGGUCAUUUUUACCAAACACCUAAAACCGAAAUGGGAAUAUUAAUAUUUCCAAGAUAUUUCACUGACAGUUUUAACUCCAUUUUUCCAUGUCUUUAAAAUAUGAAUUUUAAUAUUAUGGUGACAUAAGAAAAAUCAGAUCUUCAUAUUUUUGGACUAACCCAUUUAGUAACAAUUUCUGUAUUGCAACUGUAUGUAUUGAGCUAUCACUCUUGCAAUAAUAAA